UACAGAGGUCCCAAGCGUUGUUCGGAUUCACUGGGCGUAAAGGGUGCGUAGGCGGUGAGGUGAGUUUGAUGUGAAAUCUACGGGCUCAACCCGGAAAUGGCAUUGAAUACUAUCUCGCUAGAGAGUCGGAGGGGGGACUGGAAUACUUGGUGUAGCAGUGAAAUGCGUAGAUAUCAAGUGGAACACCAGUGGCGAAGGCGAGUCCCUGGACGACUUCUGACACUGAGGCACGAAAGCUAGGGGAGCAAACAGG
This 253-nucleotide ribosomal RNA is filed under the name uncultured bacterium. Its description in RNAcentral is "partial 16S ribosomal RNA". It matches the Rfam family "Bacterial small subunit ribosomal RNA", at positions 524 to 776 of the family's 1533-position model. The record is from RNAcentral.